AGCAGUAGCCGCGGGAAAACAGAGGGUGCAAGCGUUAGUCGGAUUUACUGGGCGUAAAGGGCGCGUAGGUGGUUAUGUAAGUGAGAUGUGAAAUCCCCGGGCUCAACCUGGGAACUGCAUCUUAUACUGCGUAGCUGGAGUGCAGUAGAGGGUAGUGGAAUUUCCGGUGUAGCGGUGAAAUGCGUAGAUAUCGGAAGGAACACCAGUGGCGAAGGCGGCUACCUGGACUGACACUGACACUGAGGCGCGAAAGCGUGGGGAGCAAACAGGAUUAGAUACCCGGGUAGUCCCUGUCUCUUAUAC
RNAcentral lists this ribosomal RNA (303 nucleotides) under uncultured bacterium. Its description in RNAcentral is "partial 16S ribosomal RNA". It matches the Rfam family "Bacterial small subunit ribosomal RNA", at positions 507 to 807 of the family's 1533-position model. The record is from RNAcentral.